CCUACGGGUGGCUGCAGUAGGGAAUAUUGGGCAAUGGAAGGAAUUCUGACCCAGCCAUGCCGCGUGCAGGAAGAAGGCGCUAAGCGUUGUAAACUGCUUUUGUCAGGGGAGAAAAGAGGGAUGCGUCCCUAAUUGACGGUACCUGAUGAAUAAGCAUCGGCUAACUCCGUGCCAGCAGCCGCGGUAAUACGGAGGAUGCGAGCGUUGUCCGGAUUUAUUGGGUUUAAAGGGUGCGUAGGCGGUUUAAUAAGUCAGUGGUUAAAUUUUGCAGCUUAACUGUGAGUAUGCCAUUGAUACUGUUAGACUUGAGACUUGAGGGGGUAAGUGGAACUGGUAGUGUAGCGGUGAAAUGCAUAGAUACUACCAAGAAUAUCGAUAGUGAAGACAACUUACUACGGAAGUUCUGACGCUGAGGCACGAAAGCGUGGGGAUCAAACAGGAUUAGAUACCCAAGUAGUC
Molecule: ribosomal RNA, 459 nt
Filed under: uncultured bacterium
Lineage: Bacteria
Description: bacterial SSU rRNA
Rfam family: Bacterial small subunit ribosomal RNA
Source: RNAcentral